Molecule: long non-coding RNA, 283 nt
Organism: Pipistrellus kuhlii (Kuhl's pipistrelle)
Lineage: Eukaryota; Metazoa; Chordata; Mammalia; Chiroptera; Vespertilionidae
Exons: 3
Source: RefSeq, a predicted model, not a curated record
CUCAGGGAGGCCACGUACCGCAGGAUCCCAUUUAUCCUUUAGACAGCCACAUGGCUUGCGGCUCCCCUGGGGGCCGCCAUCUUGAAACGGCAAAGGCCAACCCCUCCCUUUGAAGUAGCCAAUUGCGAAAGACUGUGCCCCUGAGCUCCAAUCAACAGUGAGGGGCAGGUCACAUGCGUAAGAAUUAAAAACCUGAGCAGACCACCUGCUCGGAGUGCACAUACUUCCAGACCGUGUGUGUGCAUCCUUCUACCUAAAAGUAAGGAUACUUGCCUUGCUGCCU